This 487-nucleotide ribosomal RNA is filed under the name uncultured bacterium. Its description in RNAcentral is "bacterial SSU rRNA". It matches the Rfam family "Bacterial small subunit ribosomal RNA", at positions 1010 to 1505 of the family's 1533-position model. The record is from RNAcentral.
AUAGGCCCUCCUUCGGGCCGCUUCCAAGGUGCUGCAUGGUUGUCGUCAGCUCGUGCCGUGAGGUGUUAGGUUAAGUCCUGCAACGAGCGCAACCCCUGUCACUAGUUGCUACCAUUCAGUUGAGGACUCUAGUGAGACUGCCUACGCAAGUAGAGAGGAAGGUGGGGAUGACGUCAAAUCAUCACGGCCCUUACGUCUUGGGCCACACACGUAAUACAAUGGCCGGUACAGAGGGCAGCUACACAGCGAUGUGAUGCGAAUCUCGAAAGCCGGUCUCAGUUCGGAUUGGAGUCUGCAACUCGACUCUAUGAAGCUGGAAUCGCUAGUAAUCGCGCAUCAGCCAUGGCGCGGUGAAUACGUUCCCGGGCCUUGUACACACCGCCCGUCAAGCCAUGGAAGUCUGGGGUACCUGAAGUCGGUGACCGUAAAAGGAGCUGCCUAGGGUAAAACAGGUAACUAGGGCUAAGUCGUAACAAGGUAGCCGUAA